GAUGACACUAUUUUUAAAUUCCAAUGUGCUGUUAAUGGGUUUUUGAAAGAAAAUAAAGAUAAUGAUAUUUGAUUGUUGUAGAAGGCAUGUGGCCAGAUGAUGCAAUUGACUACUGGUGUUUCAUCUUCACAAGUUCUCCGUCAUUCCAUAAGAAAGCUGCUCUUCUUGUUUCAUAAGAGAUGGUGAACAGUGGGAAUGCAGGUUCGAUCCCUGGUUGGGGAAAUGAGAUCCCACAUGCUGCAGGGCAACUAAGCCCGCAUGCCGCAGCUACUGAGGCCACCUGCUCUGGAGCCCACGCGCAACAACUAGAGAGCCCACAAGCCGCAAGGAAGACCCCACACACUGCAACGAAGAGCCCUCGUGCUGCAACUAAUACCUGACACCGCCAAAAAUAAAUAAAUAAAUAAAUAAAUAAAAUAAUAUGAGUGAAUGAAGAUAAUGGAUAAUGCCUUAAGAGAAACAGACAAGAAAAGGAAAAUUUUUUUAAAUCAAAAAGAAGAUAAAAAGAAUUUUAGAGAAAUGGCAAACGUAAAAGAUAGGCAAAAAAUAGUCGGACAGCUCUGAAAAGAGUAAUAUAAAUAUGUAUAAGAAUCUAUUAUACCAUAAAAGUGACAUUUCAAAUCAGUGGGACAGAUUAGUCAAUAAAUUGUGAUACAUACAUGUUGGGGUAUAAAUAUUUCUCUGGAAGGAUCCACAGCACGGCAAAAGCAGAUGUCUCUGAGGAGGGAAAUGUGUGGCUGGGGAAAGUGGGAAAAAGAGUGACUUUUCAUUGAAUUCCCCUGUGUACCUUUUCUAAUGUUCUGUCACGUGAAUCUGUUACCUCUGAAGUUUGCCUUAGUUCAAACCCCAGUUCCCCCAAUUGCUAGCUCUUAAUCUUGGGCAAACUCUUCACACUCUCCAAGCCUCUUUAUCUGUGAAAUAAGGUCAGUAACUUAUCCUGGUGCUGCCUGGCACAGAAUAACUCUCAACAAAUGGAGAUUAUUAGUGAAAAAAACCCAAAUGCCCAUCAAUGGAUGAAUGGAUUUUUUAAAUGUGGUGUAUAUGUGAAAUAUUAUACAGUCAUAAAAUGAAUGAAGUACUGACACAUGCUACGACAUGGGCGAACUUGAAAACAUUAUGCUAAGUGAAAGAAGCCAGACACAGUGGUCACAUUUGUAUUAUUUCAUUAAAUAUCCAGAGAAGGCAAAACCACAGUGACAGAAAGCAAAUUAAUGGUUGCAGGGACUGAAGGAGGAGGGGAUGAAUAGGGCCUGCUGAUGGUUAAGGGGGAUUCUUUUUGGGAUGAUGAAAACGUGAUGGGUUAAAUGACGGUGAUGGUUGCAUAGACUUGUGAAUGUACGAAAUGACACUGAAUUUGCAGUUUCAGAAGGUGAAUUUUAUGGCAUGUGAAUGACAUCUCAAAAAAAUAAUUUUGAAAAUGAAAAUUGCCAGAUUUCCCAUAGUCACUAUCCAGUGUCUCCAUCUCUCCCUUCUCCCCACUGCAUUCCUUUUGACGCCCACCCCUGCUGCUCUCUCCCAUCCUCCCUCCCUCGAGCUGCCCCAUGAGGACUCCCAGGGAGCCCCUGAACCGCUGGGCGCCUGCGUCCUGUGGCUGUUGGAGCGGGUGGCCAGUGUUCGUGCCCCCACCGCUCUCACCGUGAGAGUGGACAUUCCAUCGGAUUUUUCUUUUGCGUUU
Physeter macrocephalus (sperm whale) is the source of this 1675-nucleotide long non-coding RNA. RefSeq lists it as uncharacterized. The record is from RefSeq and is a predicted model, not a curated record. NCBI's taxonomy places the organism in Eukaryota, Metazoa, Chordata, Mammalia, Artiodactyla, Physeteridae. The transcript has 4 exons.